UUAAUACAAUUAAGAGCAAGAUAAAAUACAAUGACUUCUGUUCUAGCAAGUACAAGUAUAUGACAAAAUACGAUUCAAUAACGGAGCAAAUGGAUCCAUGCAGACUGACUACAUAUUAUUAUUAUUUUCUCUAUUUUCUAAAACCACGUGCAGGAAUGAAGGUCAAAGUUUGCACAUGUGCAGUACGCUAUCAGAAUAAGUUUUCAGAAAAGUGCGUUUACAUGAUAUACAUUUGGUUCGUUUUCGGAAUUGAAUCGGAAAUUUCUAGGUGCUGUUUUCCGAAAACUGAUCUAAGGAAUAUACAUGGCUUGAUAUCAGAAUUAGUUUUCCGAAAAAUAUCGGAAUUCUUAUGCUCAUGUAAACGCACUGUAUGAUACCCCUUGAUUUUAAAUCCCUGAGGUUGAGGGCUGAAUAGUGCAUUUUCAAUGACAAUAGGGCAGAAGAGCACAGCAUACAAGACAGGAUUACAAGUCCAUCUGAAAAGACAGAGUUCUGUGAAUCAAGAGUACCGUGGUUUUCAUUUUCUUUGGAUCGCAGUGCUGUUAUUGUCGGGAACUAAGUUAAGAUAUAAGAAAGUAACACUUGAAGUUCAGCAAGACAUCAGGACCUGAAUCUGCUGCAGUCCAGAAAAGCCUGGUAGAAGAUACUCCAUCCUGACCUGAAAGAGGACUCAACCUGCAGAAUGAUGCUCAUCUUCCUAACCUUCAGUUUUCUCUGUGCAAAUUCUGUCAUAGGAGUUCAAAAGGGAUCUUUGAACUGUGCUUCUGAUGCAGCUGAAUACCGGUUUCCAAAGGCUCUGCUAACCGAUGCCAAGAUCACCAUUGAUAACAUCCAUCUGCAGAAUAAUGACCAACAAUGCAAAGCACAAGAUGCAGGAAACUGGGUGGUGGUGAGGGUACUAUUCAGCGCGUGUGGAACUGCGUCUCGGGUGGAAGGAAACAAGAUAGUUUAUUCCAACACGGUUUAUGGCACUGUUACAGACACCCCAAUACCUGUACGUCGUCUUGAGAUCCCUUUAACAUGCGAGAUGACGGCUAAUGAGACCUUCAGUUUUCAGUUCAACCCUAUGGUUGAGGGUAUGGCUGAAUCAGGGUAAAUACAAGGUCUCUCUACACUUAUUCAAAACUAAAGCCUUUAAUGAUCCAGUCACGGAAUUUCCCUAUGAAGUGGAUCUGAGUGGGAGGCUCUACAUUGAAUUUGUUGUGGAUUCUAAGGAUACAAGCCUCCAGGUAUCUGCAGAUUCCUGCUACUCCUCACCCACAGACACCAAGGGAAAGGACACCUACACCAUCAUUAAAAACAGGUACGUCUGGUGCUAAACACAAACUUCUUUUACCCAGACCUCAUUGAAUUUCUAAAAUCUGGGGAUCCCCGAGUGUCUCUUCUGGUAAAAGCACAGGGUGAGACAGCACAGGUUUGUCUCUUGGCAGUGUUAGGAAGGCUAAGAUGGAAGGCAUUGCUUUUCCUCAUCACUUUUAUAAUGGAUCCUGACAGCCAGGCACAUGAUUUAUUAACAGAGACUGUUAUCCAGGGCAACUUACAAUACAUAUAUAUACAGUA
Molecule: long non-coding RNA, 1560 nt
Organism: Acipenser ruthenus (sterlet)
Lineage: Eukaryota; Metazoa; Chordata; Actinopteri; Acipenseriformes; Acipenseridae
Exons: 5
Source: RefSeq, a predicted model, not a curated record